GAUAUGAGGAGAGAUGGGAGGUAGUUAGAUACUGGAGAAUCAGGUUAAUGGGGAGAGAUGGGAGGUAGUUAGAUACUGGAGAAUCAGGUUAAUGGGGGGGUAGUUAGAUACUGGAGAAUCAGGGUAACGAGGGGAUAUGAGGAGAGAUGGGAGGUAGUUAGAUACUGGAGAAUCAGGUUAACGAGGGGAUAUGAGGAGAGAUGGGAGGUAGUUAGAUACUGGAGAAUCAGGUUAAUGGGGAGAGAUGGGAGGUAGUUAGAUACUGGAGAAUCAGGGUAACGAGGGGAUAUGAGGAGAGAUGGGAGGUAGUUAGAUACUGGAGAAUCAGGUUAAUGGGGAGAGACGGGAGGUAGUUAGAAGAUAUAAAAUGUGAAGAUUUUAACACUGAUGCCAAAGACACACUUUGAAACACCUUCACGACAGAAGCUCAAGCAGAUGGAAAAUGUGAGAUUUGACUCUGAAAGAAAUGAAUGUUUUGUCCUGAAUAGAAUGUUGCCAUUUAUAUGUCAGAGCAAAAGCUCAGCAGGAAAAUACUGUAUUACUAGAUUGGGAAUCAAAACUGUCCCCUGGGAUAUUUUGGCAGCACAACACAGUGUCAUCUGAAUGUUAAAUCGUGAUUUAUACUGUCUAUUUACAUUUAAUUCAGACAAGAGCUGAAAUAUUAGUAACAUGCUUGUCUCUAUGGUAAUAUACAGUAUAUUAUAAUAUUAGUAACAUAUCAUGCUUGUCUCUAUGGUAAUAUACAGUAU
Molecule: long non-coding RNA, 749 nt
Organism: Oncorhynchus tshawytscha (Chinook salmon)
Lineage: Eukaryota; Metazoa; Chordata; Actinopteri; Salmoniformes; Salmonidae
Exons: 3
Source: RefSeq, a predicted model, not a curated record